GCGCCCGUAGCUCAAUGGAUAGAGUACCGAUCUUCGGAAUCGUGGAUGUGGGUUCGAUUCCUGCCGGGCGCACCA
This 75-nucleotide transfer RNA is filed under the name Minisyncoccota bacterium. RNAcentral describes it as "tRNA-Arg". It matches the Rfam family "tRNA". Rfam says of the family: Transfer RNA (tRNA) molecules are approximately 80 nucleotides in length. Their secondary structure includes four short double-helical elements and three loops (D, anti-codon, and T loops). The record is from RNAcentral. RNAcentral also lists the same sequence under 2 other names. Lineage: Bacteria; Bacillati; Minisyncoccota.